AUGCAUAGGCCCUUAGUUGAUUUGUUUAUGUGCUUUACUCCUUGUCAUUUCCAGGACCCCACUGGUGACUCUAGGCUUCCCAAGGUGAUAGCAGAGCAGGAAGUGGAAACAGCUGAAGACCCAGGUGGCAAGCCUUCAGGCUGAAAAGGCAGACCUGCUGGUCAUCGUGUCUGAAUUACAGCUCAAGCUGACUGCCAGCGGCUCCUCAGAAGACUCCUUUGUUGAAAUCAAGAUGGCUGAAGGAGAAGCAGAUGGAACAUUAAAAGAAAUCAAGAAUAGUCUUGAGCCUACAAGAACAGUCUCCAUUGACAUAAUUUCAGAGUUUGAAAAUAAAGCAAAUGAUCAUUCUGAAGUUGAGACUCAGACAGAGGACAGCGAAGAAAAAGAGAAUGAAGAGGAGAAAGACACAGAGACUGUUGGAAGCGAAGUAGAAAUGUUGAACCUUCAGGCGAUAUCGCUGUUUAAGGAGCUUCAAGAGGCUCAUACAAAAUUGAGUGAAGCCGAGCUGAUGAAGAAGAGACUUCA
Molecule: long non-coding RNA, 525 nt
Filed under: Ictidomys tridecemlineatus (thirteen-lined ground squirrel)
Lineage: Eukaryota; Metazoa; Chordata; Mammalia; Rodentia; Sciuridae
Description: lncRNA (ENSSTOG00000011166.3)
Source: RNAcentral